This 68-nucleotide transfer RNA is filed under the name Ictidomys tridecemlineatus (thirteen-lined ground squirrel). Its description in RNAcentral is "Spermophilus tridecemlineatus (thirteen-lined ground squirrel) tRNA". It matches the Rfam family "tRNA". Rfam says of the family: Transfer RNA (tRNA) molecules are approximately 80 nucleotides in length. Their secondary structure includes four short double-helical elements and three loops (D, anti-codon, and T loops). Further hydrogen bonds mediate the characteristic L-shaped molecular structure. tRNAs have two regions of fundamental functional importance: the anti-codon, which is responsible for specific mRNA codon recognition, and the 3' end, to which the tRNAs corresponding amino acid is attached (by aminoacyl-tRNA synthetases). tRNAs cope with the degeneracy of the genetic code in two manners: having more than one tRNA (with a specific anti-codon) for a particular amino acid; and 'wobble' base-pairing, i.e. permitting non-standard base-pairing at the 3rd anti-codon position. The record is from Rfam by way of RNAcentral. Lineage: Eukaryota; Metazoa; Chordata; Mammalia; Rodentia; Sciuridae.
GGUUGUGGCUCAGUUGGUAGAGCACUUGCCUUGCAUGUGUGAGGCACUGGGUUCAAUUCUCAGCACCA